RNAcentral lists this ribosomal RNA (252 nucleotides) under uncultured bacterium. Its description in RNAcentral is "partial 16S ribosomal RNA". It matches the Rfam family "Bacterial small subunit ribosomal RNA", at positions 524 to 776 of the family's 1533-position model. The record is from RNAcentral.
UACGGAGGAUGCGAGCGUUAUCCGGAUUUAUUGGGUUUAAAGGGUGCGUAGGCGGUAUUUUAAGUUAGUGGUAAAACGUCGGGGCUUCACCUUGAUUGGCCAUUAAAACUGGAGUACUAGAGUACAGACGAGGUAGGCGGAAUAAGUUAAGUAGCGGUGAAAUGCUUAGAUAUAACUUAGAACCCCGAUAGCGAAGGCAGCUUACCAGACUGUUACUGACGCUGAAGCACGAGAGCGUGGGUGGCGAACAGG